RNAcentral lists this ribosomal RNA (464 nucleotides) under uncultured bacterium. RNAcentral's name for it is "partial 16S ribosomal RNA". It matches the Rfam family "Bacterial small subunit ribosomal RNA", at positions 28 to 507 of the family's 1533-position model. The record is from RNAcentral.
GACGAACGCUGGCGGCGUGCUUAACACAUGCAAGUCGAGCGGAAAGGCCCUGCUUGCCGGGUACUCGAGUGGCGAACGGGUGAGUAAUACGUGGGUGAUCUGCCCUGCACUUCGGGAUAAGCCUGGGAAACUGGGUCUAAUACCGGAUAGGAGCCAUUUUUAGUGUGAUGGUUGGAAAGUUUUUUCGGUGUAGGAUGAGCUCGCGGCCUAUCAGCUUGUUGGUGGGGUAAUGGCCUACCAAGGCGGCGACGGGUAGCCGGCCUGAGAGGGUGGACGGCCACAUUGGGACUGAGAUACGGCCCAGACUCCUACGGGAGGCAGCAGUGGGGAAUAUUGCACAAUGGGCGCAAGCCUGAUGCAGCGACGCCGCGUGGGGGAUGACGGCCUUCGGGUUGUAAACUCCUUUCGCUAGGGACGAAGCUUUUGUGACGGUACCUAGAUAAGAAGCACCGGCUAACUACGUG